AUUGAACGCUGGCGGCAUGCCUUACACAUGCAAGUCGAACGGCAGCGGACCUUCGGGUGCCGGCGAGUGGCGAACGGGUGAGUAAUAUAUCGGAACGCACCUUUCAGUGGGGGAUAACGUAGCGAAAGUUACGCUAAUACCGCAUAUUCUGUGAGCAGGAAAGCAGGGGAUCGCAAGACCUUGCGCUGAUUGAGCGGCCGAUAUCAGAUUAGCUAGUUGGUGAGGUAAAGGCUCACCAAGGCGACGAUCUGUAGCGGGUCUGAGAGGAUGAUCCGCCACACUGGAACUGAGACACGGUCCAGACUCCUACGGGAGGCAGCAGUGGGGAAUUUUGGAUAAUGGGCGCAAGCCUGAUCCAGCCAUGCCGCGUGAGUGAAGAAGGCCUCGGUUGUAAG
This 395-nucleotide ribosomal RNA is filed under the name uncultured bacterium. RNAcentral's name for it is "bacterial SSU rRNA". It matches the Rfam family "Bacterial small subunit ribosomal RNA", at positions 30 to 429 of the family's 1533-position model. The record is from RNAcentral.